Molecule: long non-coding RNA, 220 nt
Filed under: Citrus x clementina
Lineage: Eukaryota; Viridiplantae; Streptophyta; Magnoliopsida; Sapindales; Rutaceae
Description: Citrus clementina (C. clementina) long non-coding RNA (CCLE_LNC000644)
Source: RNAcentral
AGUCUGGCGGACGAACUUCGCCCGCGCCCCCCACCAAGGCUAUAGCCCACCCGUUUUUUGGCCAUUUUUCCGCUGGGGGGUUUUGGCACCACGACCUUCGGGUGCUUAUUUUUGGACGUGGCUGUGCGCGCGACUUCCCGCGGGCACCCCGAGGCCCCUCGCAAAGUCUCGCCCCAUUCCGAGUUCGGCUGACGAACUUCGCCCGCGCCCCCCACCAAGG